CUUAGAGCAGAGGCUCUAACUCCAGGCAUCACAGACCAAGAACACUAAUACCGCAAUAGCCAUUGACCCAACUCUGUCAUAAUAUGGAAGUUCCACAGAGGAGAGGCAAGCUGGGAAGACGAGAGGAUUAUGCUGAAAACUCUGCUCAUAAAACAGAGCCAAGAAGAUUGAUACAUGACUGGAGCCUGAAUGGUAGAACUUUUUCAGAAGUGAGGAGUCUGUUGGCCCAGAAGAUCUGCGCAUUUUUUUCAAAGAGACUCUAGAGUCUAAAAUGAACAACCAAUCAAUUCUACAAACAUUGCAUCAUGAGGAGUUGCUGCACCUCUUCUCCAGGAUUUGCAAAACGUGUAGUCCAAAUCGAGUUCGGCUAGAACUGGUCUGUCAUCAAGAUAUGGCUCAUGAAAGAGAUUGGUGUUUAGGAGGCUGGGAAAAGGAAAUAUUUUGAGAGACUUCAUGUGCUCCGCACAUGGAGGUGGCUUCCUUUUGCCUCAGGUGAAGGGAGCUUCAACAAGAUCACUCAGAGUUUGAUCAAUGAUCUUAGAAUUUGCAGAACAUAGGGACUGCCAUUUGACUCACCCUUUAGAAGUCAGGAGGAAAGGUUACGUGGCUGGCACUUCUCAUGUCUGGGAAGGAACAACUGUGAAGUGCUGACCUAGACGAAUGUUGCACUUCCGCUGAUGAGUAGGCAAUGGCGAAUGUUUUCCAGGGUCCAAAUGUGGACCCGGCAACAGAGAGGCUGUCUGUAAUCACUUUAUAAGAGACACUAACAACAAUGACCACUGGGACUAAAGAGAGCACAACGGAAGUAGUUCUGCCAGAAGGGCUGAGGAGAGGGCUGAGCAACCACCCUCAGGGGAGGCAGACCCACAUCAAAGACAUCUCAGCAGUCCCUUUCCCAUGAAAGAAAGAGCUAGAAAUUGUCCAUUUGACACACACACAAACCAGAUCCCAGAUUGCAAUUGAUUCAGAUAAUGAAAAGCUUGUUCUUUUCACUUGCUGUUCUAGCCUAACCAUGUAGGUGUCAGAAGCAGUUGUAGGCUAGGAGAGAAGUCGGAGCAAUACAGAAGCCAGUUCUGCCUUUGCCUCAAGAUCCACUGUCCACUCAGAGGCAGGCUGGCACAUGGGGGAUGAGAACAUUCCAAGAAAGAUGUGAAUCUGGAAUUUUCAUUUAUGCAGUAGAUGGGGAUUUACUACUGAAAGGAACAUGUUUUGGCAACUAAUAGUGACCAAAAGAAUUUGUACUUACUAAAAAUUAUCUUAAAAGCAUGGGAUUACCCUAGCAUUUUGUUUCAGAAACUGAAAUUAACAGAAAACUAUAAAAUUACUUUCUGCCUGAAACCUAAGAAGGUGAACUCAUGCCAGAAACCAGUUACAUUCACAAUUACCUGGAUUUUGUUAUUUCCUACAAUGAAUAAAACUUAUUAUAAAGCAGAAAA
RNAcentral lists this long non-coding RNA (1436 nucleotides) under Homo sapiens (human). RNAcentral describes it as "HSALNT0376770". The record is from RNAcentral. Lineage: Eukaryota; Metazoa; Chordata; Mammalia; Primates; Hominidae.